UGGCAAAGGAAUCCAUGAAUUUGUUAUAUAAAUCAGUACAUUACAAAAUUGUUGUUGCCUAAUUGGCUUACAUCUGAUACGUCUCAAAAAAUAAUCAAUUUUACUUUACAGGACAAUGAAAAAUACACAGCCUUUCAGAUGCAUAUAACAUACAAAGCAAUGAAAAUCAGCCUUAAUCAUCAAGUUUUCAAAUCAACUUACAGGCUCCAAAGUACGGUAUUCCUUUUCUGUUAUUGACAUGAUGCCAUUUGGAUCAGGUUCCACCUCUUCCAUAUAUUCCUUGGGAGGAAAGUCGCGCAUCCGUCCAAGCAGCCAUUGAUCAAUGACUCCACAGUUAAUUGCAUACUUGACUGUUUGCUCCAAAUAUCCUUUAUCAGUAAUGAGGUGUGGCUGAACAGAUAACAUUCUCAACAUUGCUGCAACAAUGCCAUCUCCAGAUGCUGACAUAUCACAUGUGAAAGGAGUAAUAGGGGCAUCCUCCAUGCCAUGCACUGCACCAUUGUGCUCCUCGGUGUAGUAGUGUAUCUUGGAAGUCCCAUUUGUAACAAACAAAACCUUAAGAUUUUCAUGCCAAAGUGGUGCAACCACUUCGGGUCCAUAAUGGACAAACUUGGAUCUGGCAUUAUUUUUGGUGUCAAAUUCCUCAGUGGGCUCUAUUCCACAAAGAAACUCAAGCUCUUGCUUGGUUAACUCUAUAACAUUUGCAUGAUUCCACACUUCUUGUAUGAAUAACUUGGUUUCUUCACUGGACUGCCACAGGGGUAACGGCAAGUUUACAUCAUAGAAAACAACCCCUCCCAACUUCUUUGACAUCUUGAUUGCCCGUAAUGUAGCUGAUUGCAUGCUUCGAUCAAGGAGGGAGUGUGUGUUGAAGUACAACAUUUUUGCCUCCUUAAGCACAUCAAUGUUUAUUUCAGAUUUAGAUAGAGAAUCUUCAGCACAGGGUUUGACACAAGUCAUUCUCAAGUGACCUCUCUUAGCAAUCUUCAUCUGUGAGAGUGCUGUUGCCCUUUUACUAUCAAUGCGAACUGAUCGUGUUUGUACAUUGUUCACAUUCAAAUAGUAUAGCAUGGCCUGACCAAAUUCAUCAUCCCCGAGUUUUCCCAUUAAAGCAACCUUACCACCCAAGCUUGCAAGAGCAAUUGCAACACUCCCUGCAGAUCCUCCCGGUGCCCUUACAAAUUUUUCUGGAGCCCAUAAUGCAUCCUUCAUUCUUUCAUGGAUUUCAUAAUCUAUAAGUCUGUUAGCUGGCCUUCCAGAUGGCACAAAAGCAUGCUGUGCAGCUCCAAAGCAGCAAACUAGAGGAGGCCAACCAUACGUGUAGCUAAUAUCAUCUCCACCAUCUUUGUCCAGUUCCAGGUCCCCAUCACUCUCAUCCUCAACAUUUGGAACAAAUGCAGACUCCUCCAUAUCACUAAUUUCAGAUUCACUACCUUGACCCUUCAUAUUCUCAUCCAUCUUCUCAGUCCUCCUCCUCCUAAUUUUCUUCUCAGUUUUCUCUUCCUCCACAAUAGUGGCAGGUGAAGUAGCUUUUCGUCGAGUCCUCCUUGGAGUUUUCUUGACAACUUCUUCAUUUGUAGCAUCAGUAGUUAUCCCCAAUUCAGAAUUCUCAUCUGGUACAUCCGAUAUUUUCUUCCUAGUUCGAGUAGUAGCUCGUUUAGAAUUCCUGGUUGUCCUCUUUUUUAAAAUUACACCAUUUUCACUAGGUUCCUCUUCAGAUAAAGUAUCAGAAAUUUUCUUCCUAGAGAUAGCCGCAAGACCCCAUUUAUUUUGCAAUCUAAAAUCUUGAAGUUGAGCCAAGUUCAGGGAGUGGUCAUUUAGGCAAGUUGAACGCCACCUGGGCAAUGAAAAGAAAUGGGUGAAAGAGAGAAACGCCAUUAACAGAGCCUAGUAAGAGCUCUCCUCUUGUUUUUGCCCUUUUGGGGUUUUGGCAAGAACUUCAGUCGACCCUCAGGGUUUACGGUUUGACAACAGAAAUAAACUAU
This 1985-nucleotide unclassified non-coding RNA is filed under the name Hevea brasiliensis (rubber tree). Lineage: Eukaryota; Viridiplantae; Streptophyta; Magnoliopsida; Malpighiales; Euphorbiaceae. The record is from RNAcentral.